GGCCGCUUGGCCCAAUGGUAAGGCGUCUGACUACGAUUAAAAGCCCCUGAAAAGGAGCUUCUAAGUGAUCAGGAGAUUCUGGGUUCGAGCCCCAGGGUGGUCA
RNAcentral lists this transfer RNA (103 nucleotides) under Eutypa lata UCREL1. It matches the Rfam family "tRNA". From Rfam's summary of the family: Transfer RNA (tRNA) molecules are approximately 80 nucleotides in length. Lineage: Eukaryota; Fungi; Ascomycota; Sordariomycetes; Xylariales; Diatrypaceae. The record is from Rfam by way of RNAcentral.